Molecule: microRNA, 26 nt
Filed under: Blattella germanica (German cockroach)
Lineage: Eukaryota; Metazoa; Arthropoda; Insecta; Blattodea; Blattellidae
Description: Bge-Mir-6012_5p (mature (co-guide))
Source: RNAcentral
AGGCUGACCUCUUCACCUGUGGAAAU